UUAAGCGACUAAGCGUACACGGUGGAUGCCCUGGCAGUCAGAGGCGAUGAAGGACGUGCUAAUCUGCGAUAAGCGUCGGUAAGGUGAUAUGAACCGUUAUAACCGGCGAUUUCCGAAUGGGGAAACCCAGUGUGAUUCGUCACACUAUCAUUAACUGAAUCCAUAGGUUAAUGAGGCGAACCGGGGGAACUGAAACAUCUAAGUACCCCGAGGAAAAGAAAUCAACCGAGAUUCCCCCAGUAGCGGCGAGCGAACGGGGAGCAGCCCAGAGCCUGAAUCAGUGUGUGUGUUAGUGGAAGCGUCUGGAAAGGCGCGCGAUACAGGGUGACAGCCCCGUACACAAAAAUGCACAUACUGUGAGCUCGAUGAGUAGGGCGGGACACGUGGUAUCCUGUCUGAAUAUGGGGGGACCAUCCUCCAAGGCUAAAUACUCCUGACUGACCGAUAGUGAACCAGUACCGUGAGGGAAAGGCGAAAAGAACCCCGGCGAGGGGAGUGAAAAAGAACCUGAAACCGUGUACGUACAAGCAGUGGGAGCACAGAGCAAUCUGUGUGACUGCGUACCUUUUGUAUAAUGGGUCAGCGACUUAUAUUCUGUAGCAAGGUUAACCGAAUAGGGGAGCCGAAGGGAAACCGAGUCUUAACUGGGCGUUAAGUUGCAGGGUAUAGACCCGAAACCCGGUGAUCUAGCCAUGGGCAGGUUGAAGGUUGGGUAACACUAACUGGAGGACCGAACCGACUAAUGUUGAAAAAUUAGCGGAUGACUUGUGGCUGGGGGUGAAAGGCCAAUCAAACCGGGAGAUAGCUGGUUCUCCCCGAAAGCUAUUUAGGUAGCGCCUCGUGAAUUCAUCUCCGGGGGUAGAGCACUGUUUCGGCAAGGGGGUCAUCCCGACUUACCAACCCGAUGCAAACUGCGAAUACCGGAGAAUGUUAUCACGGGAGACACACGGCGGGUGCUAACGUCCGUCGUGAAGAGGGAAACAACCCAGACCGCCAGCUAAGGUCCCAAAGUCAUGGUUAAGUGGGAAACGAUGUGGGAAGGCCCAGACAGCCAGGAUGUUGGCUUAGAAGCAGCCAUCAUUUAAAGAAAGCGUAAUAGCUCACUGGUCGAGUCGGCCUGCGCGGAAGAUGUAACGGGGCUAAACCAUGCACCGAAGCUGCGGCAGCGACGCUUAUGCGUUGUUGGGUAGGGGAGCGUUCUGUAAGCCUGUGAAGGUGUACUGUGAGGUAUGCUGGAGGUAUCAGAAGUGCGAAUGCUGACAUAAGUAACGAUAAAGCGGGUGAAAAGCCCGCUCGCCGGAAGACCAAGGGUUCCUGUCCAACGUUAAUCGGGGCAGGGUGAGUCGACCCCUAAGGCGAGGCCGAAAGGCGUAGUCGAUGGGAAACAGGUUAAUAUUCCUGUACUUGGUGUUACUGCGAAGGGGGACGGAGAAGGCUAUGUUGGCCGGGCGACGGUUGUCCCGGUUUAAGCGUGUAGGCUGGUUUUCCAGGCAAAUCCGGAAAAUCAAGGCUGAGGCGUGAUGACGAGGCACUACGGUGCUGAAGCAACAAAUGCCCUGCUUCCAGGAAAAGCCUCUAAGCAUCAGGUAACAUCAAAUCGUACCCCAAACCGACACAGGUGGUCAGGUAGAGAAUACCAAGGCGCUUGAGAGAACUCGGGUGAAGGAACUAGGCAAAAUGGUGCCGUAACUUCGGGAGAAGGCACGCUGAUAUGUAGGUGAAGUCCCUCGCGGAUGGAGCUGAAAUCAGUCGAAGAUACCAGCUGGCUGCAACUGUUUAUUAAAAACACAGCACUGUGCAAACACGAAAGUGGACGUAUACGGUGUGACGCCUGCCCGGUGCCGGAAGGUUAAUUGAUGGGGUCAGCGCAAGCGAAGCUCUUGAUCGAAGCCCCGGUAAACGGCGGCCGUAACUAUAACGGUCCUAAGGUAGCGAAAUUCCUUGUCGGGUAAGUUCCGACCUGCACGAAUGGCGUAAUGAUGGCCAGGCUGUCUCCACCCGAGACUCAGUGAAAUUGAACUCGCUGUGAAGAUGCAGUGUACCCGCGGCAAGACGGAAAGACCCCGUGAACCUUUACUAUAGCUUGACACUGAACAUUGAGCCUUGAUGUGUAGGAUAGGUGGGAGGCUUAGAAGUGUGGACGCCAGUCUGCAUGGAGCCGACCUUGAAAUACCACCCUUUAAUGUUUGAUGUUCUAACGUUGACCCGUAAUCCGGGUUGCGGACAGUGUCUGGUGGGUAGUUUGACUGGGGCGGUCUCCUCCUAAAGAGUAACGGAGGAGCACGAAGGUUGGCUAAUCCUGGUCGGACAUCAGGAGGUUAGUGCAAUGGCAUAAGCCAGCUUGACUGCGAGCGUGACGGCGCGAGCAGGUGCGAAAGCAGGUCAUAGUGAUCCGGUGGUUCUGAAUGGAAGGGCCAUCGCUCAACGGAUAAAAGGUACUCCGGGGAUAACAGGCUGAUACCGCCCAAGAGUUCAUAUCGACGGCGGUGUUUGGCACCUCGAUGUCGGCUCAUCACAUCCUGGGGCUGAAGUAGGUCCCAAGGGUAUGGCUGUUCGCCAUUUAAAGUGGUACGCGAGCUGGGUUUAGAACGUCGUGAGACAGUUCGGUCCCUAUCUGCCGUGGGCGCUGGAGAACUGAGGGGGGCUGCUCCUAGUACGAGAGGACCGGAGUGGACGCAUCACUGGUGUUCGGGUUGUCAUGCCAAUGGCACUGCCCGGUAGCUAAAUGCGGAAGAGAUAAGUGCUGAAAGCAUCUAAGCACGAAACUUGCCCCGAGAUGAGUUCUCCCUGACUCCUUGAGAGUCCUGAAGGAACGUUGAAGACGACGACGUUGAUAGGCCGGAUGUGUAAGCGCAGCGAUGCGUUGAGCUAACCGGUACUAAUGAACCGUGAGGCUUAACCUU
RNAcentral lists this ribosomal RNA (2903 nucleotides) under Escherichia coli. Its description in RNAcentral is "23S ribosomal RNA". It matches the Rfam family "Bacterial large subunit ribosomal RNA". Lineage: Bacteria; Pseudomonadati; Pseudomonadota; Gammaproteobacteria; Enterobacterales; Enterobacteriaceae. The record is from RNAcentral.